Molecule: ribosomal RNA, 282 nt
Filed under: Pratylenchus penetrans
Lineage: Eukaryota; Metazoa; Nematoda; Chromadorea; Rhabditida; Pratylenchidae
Description: partial large subunit ribosomal RNA
Rfam family: Eukaryotic large subunit ribosomal RNA
Source: RNAcentral
UGACCCGUCUUGAAACACGGACCAAGGAGUUUAUCGUGUGCGCAAGUCAUUGGGUGUUGAAAACUCAAAGGCGCAAUGAAAGUAAAGAAUCCGCAAGGAUACGACGUGUGAUCUGAGCAAUCACGAUUGCCUGGAGCAACAUGGCCCCAUUCUGGUCGCUUGCGACGGGGUGGAGGAAGAGCGUACGCGGUGAGACCCGAAAGAUGGUGAACUAUUCCUGAGCAGGAAAAGCCAGAGGAAACUCUGGUGGAAGUCCGAAGCGAUUCUGACGUGCAAAUCGAU